This 1335-nucleotide ribosomal RNA is filed under the name Triticum aestivum (bread wheat). RNAcentral describes it as "partial small subunit ribosomal RNA". Lineage: Eukaryota; Viridiplantae; Streptophyta; Magnoliopsida; Poales; Poaceae. The record is from RNAcentral.
AUGCACCACUCAUGCAACGGCCUUCUCCUCGUCGAGGACCGGUGGAGAGGCUACUUAGUGUGCAACCCGGCUACGGCGCGGUUUGCUGACCUGCCACUCCCAAAGAUGUCGCCGACAUGCCACGUCGACGAGAUGUUCCUCGCUUUCGACCCAGCCGUCUCGCUGCACUAUCAGGUGUUCCUUUUUCAGGAGGAGGACCCGCCACGCAUUCCGGAACCACCUACGUGGGUCGACCUAGAGAAAACGUACUUGCCCAAUUUGUUUGAAGAAGAGCAAUUGUCCGAAGAAGAAGAACAAGAUGAUAACAUGGAUUUGGGCCAUGUCGAGCAACCCCAAGAGGAAGGGGUCGAGGAACCAAAAGAAAAGGUUGUGCCUUUGAUAGUAUACUCGUCGCGCACAGGGCACUGGGAGAACCAGGAGUUCAUACCUGGAUGUUGUGCCCCAGGGCACCUCUACGACGCGGUGACCACUUCGCCUGACAGCUAUGAAAAUGUGCGGUCAUCCGAGUACUGGCACGGGUCGCUCUAUGUACAUUGCCGCAACAGUGUUCUCAUGAUCUUACGACCCUCAAAGUGGGCUUACGAUAUGGUCCAGCUCCCUGGGGAACCCUGUGCUACAAAGGGAUCUUACUCACUACCCAAAAAUUCAGUCUUGUCAAGCUAUGAAAGAGGGAUUCACUACGUGGCUUUCAACCAGCUGCAACUCCAAGUAUGGAAGCUAACUGAAUCGAUAGAUGGUCAACUAGGGUGGGCACUGGCACACGAGGCCAGCCUCAACCCACAAGAUCAUAUAAUUGACCAUCUUACAAUAGAGCCAAGGGUGAAAUGGGGAGUGGUUGAAAGUAGCGAUGAGCUAGUGAGCUUGUUCGAAGACAGGUCCUGUGGAGAAAGCAUGUGCAAUGAGGAUUAUUGUCAUGAUGAUUAUAUAGAGGAUGACAACUACGAAGGUGUCAAAGAGGAGGAUGAGGGUCAAGAGGAGGAGGAGGAGGGACACGAAGCAGAAGAUGCUAGGAGUAUAGGUGGUUCUGAACAUUCCUGGAACUCCGACGAAGACAAUUUCAUUCAUGUAGAUGGGGACGCCGACCAUCUUGGACCAUUGGCAUGGAGUUUCUGGAAUUUCUAUAGAAUCAUGGGAUUCCAUCCUCACAAGAAUGCGCUCAUCCUCUUACUCCACUCAAUGGUGGUAGUGUACCAUCUUGAUACGUCGAGGAUGCAAUAUCUAGGCGAUAAGCAUGAGCUCAUCAAAGACCACUUCCAACAAGCUUGUUGCGCCUACCGUUCCUUCCCUUACCGACCUUGCUACGUAGAUGCGUUGCCGACAGGAGAUUUGUCAUGA